Molecule: ribosomal RNA, 253 nt
Filed under: uncultured bacterium
Lineage: Bacteria
Description: partial 16S ribosomal RNA
Rfam family: Bacterial small subunit ribosomal RNA
Source: RNAcentral
UACAGAGGUCUCGAGCGUUAGGCGGAAUCACUGGGCUUAAAGAGCGUGUAGGCGGCCAUGUAGGUCCGUUGUGAAAACUCGAGGCUCAACCUCGAGACGCCGAUGGAAACCAUGUGGCUAGAGUCCGGAAGAGGAGAGUGGAAUUCCUGGUGUAGCGGUGAAAUGCGCAGAUAUCAGGAAGAACACCCGUGGCUAAGGCGGCUCUCUAGUACGGUACUGACGCUGAGACGCGAAAGCGUGGGGAGCGAACAGG